UUUGGUCAAGCUACGAAGGGCACAUGGUGGAUGCCUUGGCACAAGAAGGCGAUGAAGGACGUGGCAAGCUGCGAUAAGCCUCGGGGAGGUGUAAGCAACCUUAGAUCCGAGGAUCUCCGAAUGGGGCAACCCGACCCGGGUAAUGCCGGGUCACUGCUCGCUGAAUCCAUAGGCGAGUCAGAGCGAACGAGGCGAACUGAACCAUCUUAGUAGCCUCAGGAAAAGAAAGCGAAUGCGAUUUCCCCAGUAGCGGCGAGCGAAAAGGAAACAGCCUAAACCGUUUGUAUGCAAAAGCCUGCAUGCGUUGUACAAACGGGGUAGCGGGAAAGAACCGGACCAGGAUGCAGCUUGGUCGAGAAGUUACAAACCUGCACCUUAGUCGAACAUCCCUGGAAAGGGUGGCCACAGAGGGUGAUAGCCCUGUAGACGAAAAGGUAGUAGGCUUCUUGGGUUCUUCUCCCAAGUACUGUGGGACACGAGGAAUCCCGCAGGAAUCUGUGCCGACCACGGCAUAAGGCUAAAUACUCUCUUGUGACCGAUAGUGAACCAGUACCGUGAGGGAAAGGUGAAAAGUACCCCUGUUAGGGGAGUGAAAUAGUACCUGAAACCAUGUGCUUACAAGCAGUUGGAGCUUUGUGAGCUGACUUUGGUCAACUCACGGGGUGACAGCGUGCCUUUUGUUUAAUGAGCCGGCGAGUUACUCGUGCGUUGCAAGGUUAAGUCCCCCAAGGACGAAGCCAUAGCGAAAGCGAGUCUUAAUAGGGCGUCUGAGUAACGCGCGGUAGACCCGAAACCGAGUGAUCUAUCCAUGGCCAGGAUGAAGCUCAGGUUAAACUGAGUGGAGGUCCGAACCGAUGUAGGUGAAAACUGCUCGGAUGAGCUGUGGAUAGGGGUGAAAGGCCAAUCAAACUCGGAGAUAGCUGGUUCUCCCCGAAAUAGCUUUAGGGCUAGCCUUGCAUUAUAGAGUGGUGGGGGUAGAGCACUGGAUGGGCUAGGGAUCUUAAUGGAUCACCGAACCCAACCAAACUCCGAAUACCACUUACUCGUUUUGCAGGAGUCAGGUUGCGAGGGAUAAGCUUCGUAGCCGAGAGGGAAACAACCCAGAUUGUCAGCUAAGGCCCCUAAAUGUAGGCUAAGUGACUGAAAGGAGGUCGGGUUGCUUAGACAACCAGGAUGUUGGCUUAGAAGCAGCCAUCAUUUAAAGAGUGCGUAACUGCUCACUGGUCAAGUGGCCUGGCGCCGAAAAUUGGCGGGUCUAAGCCUACUGCCGAAGCUGCAAAAUGUCGGCCCCAAAUCGCCGGCUAUUGGUUAUCGGUUCUUGCUGAUGACCAUUGACCGACGGCUGGCGACCGAUAUUGGUAGGGGAGCGUUCCAUUAACCUGUGAAGCCCUUCGGUGACGGAGGGUGGAGGAGAUGGAAGUGAUUAUGCCGGCAUGAGUAGCGAUAAUUCCGAUGAGAAAUCGGAACACCGAAAGUCUAAGGUUUCCUGGGGAAGGUUAAUCCGCUCAGGGUAAGUCGGGUCCUAAGCUGAGGCCGAAAGGCGUAGGCGAUGGAGAUCAGGUUAAAAUUCCUGAACCACCUUGGUGGCGUCUGAGCGAUGGGGUGACGCAGGAGUGAAAGGUCAGCCUCGUGUUGGCUUACGAGGUCCAAACCUGUAGGAGGUCUCGAUAGGCAAAUCCGUCGGGGCGUAACUCCGAGAGGUGAUGGGGAGGCUGUAAGGCCACAAACUGACCCUAAGCAUGCUGCCAAGAAAAACCUCUAAGCGAGUCAUCAGGGUGACCGUACCGCAAACCGACACAGGUAGACGGGGAGAGAAUCCUAAGGUGCUCGAGAGAACCCUCGUUAAGGAACUCGGCAAAAUGACCCCGUAACUUCGGGAGAAGGGGUGCCUCUGGUAGGUGAAGUCCCUGCGGAUGGAGCCGAAGGAGGUCGCAGAGAAACGGCCUGGCCGACUGUUUACUAAAAACACAGGUCUCUGCCAAGUCGUAAGACGAUGUAUAGAGACUGACACCUGCCCGGUGCCGGAAGGUUAAAGGGAACCGUUAGGGGGCAACCCCGAAGCGGUGAACUGAAGCCCCGGUAAACGGCGGCCGUAACUAUAACGGUCCUAAGGUAGCGAAAUUCCUUGUCGGGUAAUGUCCGACCCGCACGAAUGGUGUAACGAUCCGGGCGCUGUCUCAACGAGGGACUCGGCGAAAUUGUAUUUCCGGUGAAGAUGCCGGAUACCCGCGGCAAGACGGAAAGACCCCGUGAACCUUUACUACAGUCUGGCAUUGGGUUUUGGCUGGGCAUGUGUAGGAUAGGUGGGAGGCUGUGAAGCCCCGACGCCAGUCGGGGUGGAGCCGUCCUUGAAAUACCACCCUUGUUCAGUUGAGGCUCUAACCUGGAUCCUUGAAUCAGGGUCAGGGACAGUGCUUGAUGGGUAGUUUGACUGGGGCGGUCGCCUCCUAAAAAGUAACGGAGGCUCCCAAAGGUUCCCUCAGCACGGUUGGUAAUCGUGCGUAGAGUGCAAAGGCAUAAGGGAGCUUGACUGCGAGACCUACAGGUCAAGCAGGUGCGAAAGCAGGGCUUAGUGAUCCGGCGGUUGCGUGUGGAAGCGCCGUCGCUCAAAGGAUAAAAGGUACUCCGGGGAUAACAGGCUUAUCUCCCCCAAGAGUUCACAUCGACGGGGAGGUUUGGCACCUCGAUGUCGGCCCAUCGCAUCCUGGGGCUGGAGAAGGUCCCAAGGGUUUGGAUGUUCGCCAAUUAAAGCGGUACGCGAGCUGGGUUUAGAACGUCGUGAGACAGUUCGGUCCCUAUCUGCCGUGGGCGCAGGAUAUCUGAGGGGAGCUGCCCCCAGUACGAGAGGACCGGGGUGGACGAACCUCUAGUGUACCAGUUGUCCCGCCAGGGGCAAAGGCUGGGUAGCUAUGUUCGGAAGGGAUAACCGCUGAAAGCAUCUAAGCGGGAAGCCUCCCCCAAGAUGAGAUAUCCCAUCCGAGUGAUCGGAUCUGAAGGCCUCCCGUAGACCACGGGUUUGAUAGACCGCAAGUGUAAGCAUGGUAACAUGCUCAGCUGAGCGGCACUAAUAGGCCGUGCGGCUUGACCAAAU
This 3091-nucleotide ribosomal RNA is filed under the name Candidatus Latescibacterota bacterium. Its description in RNAcentral is "bacterial LSU rRNA". It matches the Rfam family "Bacterial large subunit ribosomal RNA". The record is from RNAcentral. Lineage: Bacteria; Pseudomonadati; Candidatus Latescibacterota.